This 253-nucleotide ribosomal RNA is filed under the name uncultured bacterium. Its description in RNAcentral is "partial 16S ribosomal RNA". It matches the Rfam family "Bacterial small subunit ribosomal RNA", at positions 524 to 776 of the family's 1533-position model. The record is from RNAcentral.
UACGGAGGGUGCAAGCGUUGUUCGGAUUUACUGGGCGUAAAGGGCGCGUAGGCGGUCUUAUAAGCCAGAUGUGAAAGCCCACGGCUCAACCGUGGAAGUGCAUCUGGAACUGUGAGACUUGAGUAUGGGAGAGGAAAGUGGAAUUCCCGGUGUAGAGGUGAAAUUCGUAGAUAUCGGGAGGAAUACCGGUGGCGAAGGCGACUUUCUGGACCAAUACUGACGCUGAGGCGCGAAAGCGUGGGUAGCAAACAGG